UACGUAGGUGACAAGCGUUGUCCGGAUUUAUUGGGCGUAAAGGGAGCGCAGGCGGUCUGUUUAGUCUAAUGUGAAAGCCCACGGCUUAACCGUGGAACGGCAUUGGAAACUGACAGACUUGAAUGUAGAAGAGGAAAAUGGAAUUCCAAGUGUAGCGGUGGAAUGCGUAGAUAUUUGGAGGAACACCAGUGGCGAAGGCGAUUUUCUGGUCUAACAUUGACGCUGAGGCUCGAAAGCGUGGGGAGCGAACAGGAUUAGAUACCCGUGUAGU
This 271-nucleotide ribosomal RNA is filed under the name uncultured bacterium. RNAcentral's name for it is "partial 16S ribosomal RNA". It matches the Rfam family "Bacterial small subunit ribosomal RNA", at positions 524 to 794 of the family's 1533-position model. The record is from RNAcentral.